CCUACGGGAGGCAGCAGUGAGGAAUAUUGGUCAAUGGACGGAAGCCUGAACCAGCCAUGCCGCGUGAAGGAAGACGGCUCUAUGAGUUGUAAACUGCUUUUGUACAAGGGUAAACCUAAACACGUGUAUUCAGCUGAAAGUACUUUACGAAUAAGGAUCGGCUAACUCCGUGCCAGCAGCCGCGGUAAUACGGAGGAUCCAAGCGUUAUCCGGAUUUAUUGGGUUUAAAGGGUGCGUAGGUGGAUUGUUAAGUUAGAGGUGAAAGUUCCGAGCUUAACUCGGGAACUGCCACUGAUACUGGUGAUCUAGAGAGUAGAUGCGGUAGGCGGAAUGUAUGGUGUAGCGGUGAAAUGCUUAGAGAUCAUGCAGAACACCGAUUGCGAAGGCAGCUUACCAAUCUAUAUCUGACGUUGAGGCACGAAAGCGUGGGGAGCAAACAGGAUUAGAUACCCCAGUAGUC
RNAcentral lists this ribosomal RNA (460 nucleotides) under uncultured bacterium. RNAcentral's name for it is "partial 16S ribosomal RNA". It matches the Rfam family "Bacterial small subunit ribosomal RNA", at positions 338 to 795 of the family's 1533-position model. The record is from RNAcentral.